This is a non-coding RNA of Paramuricea clavata, 105 nucleotides long. The record is from the annotation of a GenBank genome assembly. NCBI's taxonomy places the organism in Eukaryota, Metazoa, Cnidaria, Anthozoa, Malacalcyonacea, Plexauridae.
GACUAAUAUUUUCCAAGACUUUGUACUCGAUGUUACUAGUAUACAUGAAUGUUUCAUGUAUACUAGUAACAUCGAGUACAAUUAAGUCUUGGAAAAUAUUAGUCC